UCAUGGUGUUACUAGUAGGACUUUAUUGAAGUCAGGUUUUUGUAGUGUUUCUGGGUUUCCUGUCACUGUGGGCCUCAGAGCACAGUAGUACAGAGCAGAGUCUGUCACUUCAACAGAGGAGAUCUCCAGAUACACACAGGUUCUCUCCUUGUUCAGUGUAACAGACAGUAGAAUGUCUUGAGAAUCGUCUCUCACUUCAUAUGGAUUACUGGUAGCUGUGACCAGGUAAAGGAAUUGGAGACCUGUUCCAGAAUAAUGUGUGUACCACAGCAGACUAUCUGCUUUUACUGUAUAGUUACAGGAGAUCUUAACUCUGUUACCCUCUAAAUAAUACUCCUCAGGACUGGUUGGAGUAAUAUCAUCCUCUAAAGUAUCACCUACAAAAGAUGAAAUCAGUAGAAUAUAACAGAGUAGCAUCAUGGUCUAUGUUACAGAUCAGACAUUAAUGUGUUAUUUAGAAACAGCAAAGCCAAAACUCUGCUAUGACUCUGAAAUGAUAAGUAGGCGUAUACAAUGUUACUCCUCCUCUUUACAUAGGUUCUUAAACACCCCCACCAGGUUUCCUGUCAAAAAGAAAAACCUUGAGGUGCACCAUCUCCUGUAGGUCAUGUCAUGUACAUAUAGAAUGUGUCAGGUUAGGUUUUUGUACAGCGUUUGUAGGUUUCCUUUCACUGUGGGCGUCAGAGCACAGCAGUACAUAGCAGAGUCUUUCUCUUUAGCAGAGAAGAUCUCCAGAUCCACACAGUUCUUCUCAGCAUUCAGUUUCACUGACAGUCGAGGAUCCAGACCUGGAGCCCGUGAUGGAGACCCAACACCAUGCAGGAUAAGCAGGAUAUACUGAGGAGCUGAUCCAGGGUCCUGGCGAUACCAUUGAAGAGAGACUGCAGAUGAGUAGGUCAACAGAGUUGGCAGAAGGACCUGACCUGUCUACUGUGAUGUCAUUGGGGAAACAUUGCUUGAAGGGCAUAUCUGUAAGAUAAUUCAUCUAUUCAUCUUAAGGCAAUUCAUUAAUAUACAGGCAUUUUUGUUUUCAUCUUUAUAGCUAUAAUUUACAGUAUAAAUCUGCAACAUAUUUGGAUCACCGAAUGAGUUUCUGUCACUUUUUCAUUUGUUCAUUUGUUUCAACAAAUAAUUCACUGUUCAUUUCCAGCCUACAUUAUUUUUUUUGUCUAUUUAAGGUAGCCUAAUAAUUGACAUGUUUCUCUUAGGGGAUGUUGGUGUUUUCAGUUCACAUUUUUGUACAGUGUGUCUGGGUUUCAUUUCAUUGUGGGCUCGAGGGCACAGUAGUAAAGAGCAGAAUCUGCCACUUCAGCAGAGGAGAUCUCCAGAUCUACACAGGUUCUCUCAUUGUUCAGUUUAACAGACAGUCGAGGGUCUUCAGGUUUAGCUUUCACUACAGAGGGGUUUGAGGACACUCCAGUGAGGAAGAGGAAGAUUGGAGAUGAUCCAGGGUACUGUUGAUACCACUGGAGAGUACUAGCAGAGGAGUAAUUACAGGACAGAUUUAUGACAUCACCCUCCAACCUAACAUCUUAUCUGUUGUUGGAGUAAUGUCAUUCCCAUAACUGCCACCUGUAAAACAUUCAUGAAAACAGGAAUUGUUAUCAGGAAAUUAUUAUAAAAUUUAAAUCAUUAUUCAGUCAAGUGCAUUAAAAAUGGACAGAAGAUCCUUCACAGGAAUAUGACUCCAGUCAUCAGUAACUACUGUUAGAUUCUGGGUGAAACUUGGAACAUUGGUAUAUUCAUAAGGAUAGUGUCCAACCGUGAACGAGACUAGUUUUUACAUCAGAAGUUAAUGGUUAUCUGUAGGAGUCAGAUGGCUUUGGAAUGUGUAGGGGAGACGGGUGGAGAUCUUAGAACCUAACAAUGUCACUGAGGGAGAGAGGGUAAUGUAUAACGUUUACAUUAUGUCAGGAUAUGUUAUUGUUAGCCAUCAGGGUUCCUCUGGGAGGAGAAAAGACACAGUCUGGUAUCAAUAACCAUGACAGCCUUGAGUUGGGGAGGAGUGAGCACUUUGGGGUAGAGGUCAGGUUAGAUGAAGUGAGGAAGAACAGAUAUCACUAAGGUUCUGUCUAGCAACAGUGAUGCAUUGGCUGUUCAGUUGUGGAGAAGGAGACUCAGCCUUGGAGAAAGGGUUAAAUAUCAGUUCAUGUAUGAAAUGUUGUUUGUCUGAAUGCAGCUGUAUCGACCCUUUGGGAAGAAUUAAACUUGGUUAAGCUUC
Molecule: long non-coding RNA, 2221 nt
Organism: Salvelinus fontinalis (brook trout)
Lineage: Eukaryota; Metazoa; Chordata; Actinopteri; Salmoniformes; Salmonidae
Exons: 2
Source: RefSeq, a predicted model, not a curated record